RNAcentral lists this ribosomal RNA (1056 nucleotides) under uncultured eukaryote. RNAcentral describes it as "SSU rRNA". It matches the Rfam family "Eukaryotic small subunit ribosomal RNA", at positions 577 to 1661 of the family's 1831-position model. The record is from RNAcentral.
CGGUAAUUCCAGCUCCAAUAGCGUAUAUUAAAGUUGUUGCAGUUAAAAAGCUCGUAGUUGAACCUUGGGCUUGGNUGGCCGGUCCGCCUUUUUGGCGAGUACUGGACCCAACCGAGCCUUUCCUUCUGGCUAACCUUUCGCCCUUGUGGUGUUUGGCGAACCAGGACUUUUACUUUGAAAAAAUUAGAGUGUUCAAAGCAGGCCUUUGCUCGAAUAUAUUAGCAUGGAAUAAUAGAAUAGGACGUUAUGGUUCUAUUUUGUUGGUUUCUAGGACCAUCGUAAUGAUUAAUAGGGACGGUCGGGGGCAUCAGUAUUCAGUUGUCAGAGGUGAAAUUCUUGGAUUACCUGAAGACUAACUACUGCGAAAGCAUUUGCCAAGGACGUUUUCAUUAAUCAAGAACGAAAGUUAGGGGAUCGAAGAUGAUCAGAUACCGUCGUAGUCUUAACCAUAAACUAUGCCGACUAGGGAUCGGGUGUUGUUCUUUUUUUGACGCACUCGGCACCUUACGAGAAAUCAAAGUCUUUGGGUUCUGGNGGGAGUAUGGUCGCAAGGCUGAAACUUAAAGGAAUUGACGGAAGGGCACCACCAGGAGUGGAGCCUGCGGCUUAAUUUGACUCAACACGGGGAAACUCACCAGGUCCAGACACAAUAAGGAUUGACAGAUUGAGAGCUCUUUCUUGAUUUUGUGGGUGGUGGUGCAUGGCCGUUCUUAGUUGGUGGAGUGAUUUGUCUGCUUAAUUGCGAUAACGAACGAGACCUUAACCUACUAAAUAGUGCUGCUAGCUUUUGCUGGNAUAGUCACUUCUUAGAGGGACUAUCGAUUUCAAGUCGAUGGAAGUUUGAGGCAAUAACAGGUCUGUGAUGCCCUUAGACGUUCUGGGCCGCACGCGCGCUACACUGACGGAGCCAACGAGUAUUAACCUUGGCCGAGAGGUCUGGGAAAUCUUGUGAAACUCCGUCGUGCUGGGGAUAGAGCAUUGUAAUUAUUGCUCUUCGACGAGGAAUUCCUAGUAAGCNCAAGUCAUCAGCUUGCGUUGAUUACGUCCCUGCCCCUU